Molecule: non-coding RNA, 352 nt
Filed under: Pan troglodytes (chimpanzee)
Lineage: Eukaryota; Metazoa; Chordata; Mammalia; Primates; Hominidae
Source: RNAcentral
AGUCCCUCCCCAGCCCAGCAGUCCCUCCAGGCUACAUCCAGGAGACUUAAACAGGCACAAUCAAAACCAUCUCAGUCAGAAGUCAGAGCGUGGUACCUGGGAGAGAACCCCGAGGGGCAUCUGGAGUGUUGGGGCCAUGUUGGUGAUAUGGACGUACUUCACUUGUGAAAAUUCUCACCAAAAUGUUCACAAGUUCUUUUGAAGGAGAGGGGAUGUGGGGAGGGAGAAGAGGUUAUAUGAGAUUGUCUUUAAUGUUUUGUACUUUUUGCAUUUUUAAGCUUUUUGACAAUGAACAUGUAUUUUAUAAUCAGAGAAAAAUGCUGAUUUUUAUAAAGUGCCAUUAUUAUGAUUA